AAUUUAAACUACUGCACCUAAAAUUAUAUCUUAAUCCAACAUCGAGGUCGCAAUCUUUUUUAUCAAUAUGAACUCUCCAAAAAAAUUACGCUGUUAUCCCUAAAGUAACUUAAUUUUAUAAUCAUUAAAAAUGGAUCAUAUAUUCAUAAAUCAAUGAUAUAAAUUUUAAAAGUUAUUCAAAUUUUAAUAUCACCCCAAUAAAAUAUAUUAUAUUAUUAUAAUCAAAUAAAUCCUAAAAAUUAAAAUAAAAUACAUAUAUAAAGAUUUAUAGGGUCUUCUCGUCUUUUAAAAAAAUUUUAGCUUUUUGACUAAAAAAUAAAAUUUUAUUUUAAAUUUAAAUGAAACAGUUAAUAUUUCGUCCAACCAUUCAUUCCAGCCUUCAAUUAAAAGACUAUUGAUUAUGCUACCUUUGCACAGUUAAAAUACUGCGGCCAUUUAAAAAAUCAGUGGGCAGG
This 455-nucleotide ribosomal RNA is filed under the name Cyphipelta rufocyanea. Its description in RNAcentral is "partial 16S ribosomal RNA". The record is from RNAcentral. Lineage: Eukaryota; Metazoa; Arthropoda; Insecta; Diptera; Syrphidae.